GGUUAGACGGAGGGAGUAGGUCUGUAGCGUGGUUGCACUAGUCUCCCGCUACCUUAGCUUGUGCUGGUAUAAAUCAGUUAAAAUUGUUAGGUCGCUCGUGCGGAGGAAAGGUGAAAGUGAAACAAGUGGGUAUGUAAAUGUAUGUACGCAUCCAUGCAUUCAAUUCGACAAGCUAACAAAACCUUAAAUAGUCACCGAACUCCCGUGCUUGGGGAGCGUUAAAACGUUUCAAUUGGCAUUGAUCAGGUGGCUUUACAACGUAGGGCCCGACCGUCGCGUGUACUGUAACUGAUGUGAAGCCGAAAACGCAAGAGUAUCCCAUGCACGGUUGGUCUGAAAAUCGCAGUACUCCGUAUUGGUAUGUAACUACAUCGUACAGUACAGGCGAGUACUCUGACUCAAUGGCAAAAUGGGUACAGUGAAGCAGUUAGCAGUGUAGUUAGAAAACUAGUAGAAAUGUGAAGCGAACAGUUUUGUUUGCAAUCCCAUGUUCUCAACCCUUCUCCCUCGUUUUUCGCGUGCACGUUUUUCAAACUAAUAAAUGGUGCGUUUUUAGUAAAAAGUUUCUAUACGAAAGUUGUUUAAAAAAAUUAUAUCGAUUUAUUUUUUAAAAAAAAUAGCAAAAAUUUAAUUAAUCACGCGCUAAUGGACCGCUCCGUUUUCCGUACGGAGAGUUUAGUUCCCAACUUCCCAUAUCUGAACACAGCCAAGUGGUGUCGCUGGCAGCCUGGCAAUGCUAAAUUGCUAAUCUGUGGUUCCGUUGAGAACGGCUGCUAGCUCGAGUGCUUGACUAGCUGGGAUCUGCCAGAGCUAUGCAUUGGUCUGAGCUCGAAUUCUUUCAAACACAGGUUAUCACACCAUUUUCUUUUUAGUUAAUUGGAUCCAUGCCACUAUAAAUAUGGUAAAUCAGAAAAAUGACAUUAUUAUUCAUGAAAUCGGGUAGAUGCCACUCUAAUUUUCUAAAAUUAGAACCAUGCCACUCCAUCACAAUUUCCGUCCUCUUCGUCACAUUCAGCCGUCUCCGUGUUAUCUUCUUGUCGUCUUCGUCUUCGUCUCGACGGACAAACCGGCGCCGGAGGAGGAGAGCACGGCGGCGGAUGGGGAACGACGGCGGAUGGGGAAGGGCUUCACCGGCGCGGCCGUGCCCGUGCGCUGCGCCUCCGCUAUAGCACAUCGUCUUCAACCUCUAUACGAAGUCCCGUGCGGCCGUGCCUCCCGAGCUCGCCAUGCCCUGGCCGCUUCUCCCAACGAUUUCCUUCUCUCUCCGCUGCCACCGCGCGUUUCAGCCGCUUUGCGCCAUCGCCCUAAUUGUCUGCUCUCAGCGCAACCACCUCAACGAAGAGAGGAAGCCCGGCUAUCAUCUCCCUCAUGGAGCUCGGCGCCGGUGAGGGCGGCGUGCCGCCAUGCCCUCCUCCUCAGGCACCGAGACGAAGAUAAGACGGAGACGGCGAAAAAUGUGACGGAGAGGACGGAAAUCGUGAUGGAGUGGUAUGGUUUUAAUUUUAGAAGAUUGGAGUAGCAUCUACCCGAUUUCAUGAAUAGUAAUGAUAUUUUUCUGAUUUGUCAUAUUUACAGUGGCAUGGAUCCAAUUAACCCUUUCUUUUUUACCAAUAAUAAUAUGUUAACCUCUUCUUAGUACUCCAACAAUUUAAUCUGUGGUUCUUUUUUUACCAAUAAUAAUAUAUGUUAACCUCUU
Oryza sativa Japonica Group (Japanese rice) is the source of this 1696-nucleotide long non-coding RNA. RefSeq lists it as uncharacterized. The record is from RefSeq and is a predicted model, not a curated record. Lineage: Eukaryota; Viridiplantae; Streptophyta; Magnoliopsida; Poales; Poaceae.